CGCAUCUAAUACAACUUUCAACAACGGAUCUCUUGGCUCUCGCAUCGAUGAAGAACGCAGCGAAAUGCGAUAAGUAAUGUGAAUUGCAGAAUUCAGUGAAUCAUCGAAUCUUUGAACGCACCUUGCGCCCCUUGGUAUUCC
RNAcentral lists this ribosomal RNA (141 nucleotides) under Amylostereum chailletii. RNAcentral describes it as "5.8S ribosomal RNA". It matches the Rfam family "5.8S ribosomal RNA", at positions 1 to 129 of the family's 154-position model. From Rfam's summary of the family: 5.8S ribosomal RNA (5.8S rRNA) is a component of the large subunit of the eukaryotic ribosome. The record is from RNAcentral. Lineage: Eukaryota; Fungi; Basidiomycota; Agaricomycetes; Russulales; Stereaceae.